CGAGCGCACCCACGUCCUUAGUUGCCAUCAUUCAGUUGGGCACUCUAGGGAGACUGCCGGUGAUAAGCCGCGAGGAAGGUGUGGAUGACGUCAAGUCCUCAUGGCCCUUACGGGAUUGGCUACACACGUGCUACAAUGGCGGUGACAGUGGGACGCGAAGGAGCGAUCUGGAGCAAAUCCCCAAAAGCCGUCUCAGUUCGGAUUGCACUCUGCAACUCGAGUGCAUGAAGGCGGAAUCGCUAGUAAUCGUGGAUCAGCAUGCCACGGUGAAUACGUUCCCGGGCCUU
RNAcentral lists this ribosomal RNA (287 nucleotides) under uncultured Methylobacterium sp. Its description in RNAcentral is "partial 16S ribosomal RNA". It matches the Rfam family "Bacterial small subunit ribosomal RNA", at positions 1093 to 1382 of the family's 1533-position model. Lineage: Bacteria; Pseudomonadati; Pseudomonadota; Alphaproteobacteria; Hyphomicrobiales; Methylobacteriaceae. The record is from RNAcentral.